GAUGAACGCUGGCGGCGUGCCUAAUACAUGCGAGUCGAGCGAACGGACGAGAAGCUUGCUUCUCUGAUGUUAGCGGCGGACGGGUGAGUAACACGUGGAUAACCUACCUAUAAGACUGGGAUAACUUCGGGAAACCGGAGCUAAUACCGGAUAAUAUUUUGAACCGCAUGGUUCAAAAGUGAAAGACGGUCUUGCUGUCACUUAUAGAUGGAUCCGCGCUGCAUUAGCUAGUUGGUAAGGUAACGGCUUACCAAGGCAACGAUGCAUAGCCGACCUGAGAGGGUGAUCGGCCACACUGGAACUGAGACACGGUCCAGACUCCUACGGGAGGCAGCAGUAGGGAAUCUUCCGCAAUGGGCGAAAGCCUGACGGAGCAACGCCGCGUGAGUGAUGAAGGUCUUCGGAUCGUAAAACUCUGUUAUUAGGGAAGAACAUAUGUGUAAGUAACUGUGCACAUCUUGACGGUACCUAAUCAGAAAGCCACGGCUAACUACGUGCCAGCAGCCGCGGUAAUACGUAGGUGGCAAGCGUUAUCCGGAAUUAUUGGGGCGUAAAGCGCGCGUAGGCGGUUUUUUAAGUCUGAUGUGAAAGCCCACGGCUCAACCGUGGAGGGUCAUUGGAAACUGGAAAACUUGAGUGCAGAAGAGGAAAGUGGAAUUCCAUGUGUAGCGGUGAAAUGCGCAGAGAUAUGGAGGAACACCAGUGGCGAAGGCGACUUUCUGGUCUGUAACUGACGCUGAUGUGCGAAAGCGUGGGGAUCAAACAGGAUUAGAUACCCUGGUAGUCCACGCCGUAAACGAUGAGUGCUAAGUGUUAGGGGGUUUCCGCCCCUUAGUGCUGCAGCUAACGCAUUAAGCACUCCGCCUGGGGAGUACGACCGCAAGGUUGAAACUCAAAGGAAUUGACGGGGACCCGCACAAGCGGUGGAGCAUGUGGUUUAAUUCGAAGCAACGCGAAGAACCUUACCAAAUCUUGACAUCCUUUGACAACUCUAGAGAUAGAGCUUUCCCCUUCGGGGGACAAAGUGACAGGUGGUGCAUGGUUGUCGUCAGCUCGUGUCGUGAGAUGUUGGGUUAAGUCCCGCAACGAGCGCAACCCUUAAGCUUAGUUGCCAUCAUUAAGUUGGGCACUCUAAGUUGACUGCCGGUGACAAACCGGAGGGAGGUGGGGAUGACGUCAAAUCAUCAUGCCCCUUAUGAUUUGGGCUACGCACGUGCUACAAUGGACAAUACAAAGGGCAGCGAAACCGUGAGGUCAAGCAAAUCCCAUAAAGUUGUUCUCAGUUCGGAUUGUAGUCUGCAACUCGACUACAUGAAGCUGGAAUCGCUAGUAAUCGUAGAUCAGCAUGCUACGGUGAAUACGUUCCCGGGUCU
Molecule: ribosomal RNA, 1373 nt
Filed under: uncultured bacterium
Lineage: Bacteria
Description: bacterial SSU rRNA
Rfam family: Bacterial small subunit ribosomal RNA
Source: RNAcentral